Molecule: unclassified non-coding RNA, 378 nt
Filed under: plant metagenome
Description: partial contains 5.8S ribosomal RNA, internal transcribed spacer 2, and large subunit ribosomal RNA
Rfam family: 5.8S ribosomal RNA (bases 1-105)
Source: RNAcentral
GAAAUGCGAUAAGUAAUGUGAAUUGCAGAAUUCAGUGAAUCAUCGAAUCUUUGAACGCACCUUGCGCUCCUUGGUAUUCCUUGGAGCAUGCCUGUUUGAGUAUCAUGAAAUCUUCAAAGUAGAUCUUUUGUUAACUCAAUUGGUUUCUACUUUGGUAUUGGAGGUCUUUGCAGCUUCACACCUGCUCCUCUUUGUUCAUUAGCUGGAUCUCAGUGUUAUGCUUGGUUCCACUCGGCGUGAUAAGUUAUCUAUCGCUGAGGACACUGUAAAAGGUGGCCAAGGUAAAUGCAGAUGAACCGGUUCUAAUAGUCCAUUGACUUGGACAAUACUUUUAUGAUCUGAUCUCAAAUCAGGUAGGACUACCCGCUGAACUUAAGC